AUUGAACGCUGGCGGCAGGCCUAACACAUGCAAGUCGAACGGUAACAGGAAGCAGCUUGCUGCUUCGCUGACGAGUGGCGGACGGGUGAGUAAUGUCUGGGAAGCUGCCUGAUGGAGGGGGAUAACUACUGGAAACGGUAGCUAAUACCGCAUAAUGUCGCAAGACCAAAGAGGGGGACCUUCGGGCCUCUUGCCAUCGGAUGUGCCCAGAUGGGAUUAGCUUGUUGGUGGGGUAACGGCUCACCAAGGCGACGAUCCCUAGCUGGUCUGAGAGGAUGACCAGCCACACUGGAACUGAGACACGGUCCAGACUCCUACGGGAGGCAGCAGUGGGGAAUAUUGCACAAUGGGCGCAAGCCUGAUGCAGCCAUGCCGCGUGUAUGAAGAAGGCCUUCGGGUUGUAAAGUACUUUCAGCGGGGAGGAAGGGAGUAAAGUUAAUACCUUUGCUCAUUGACGUUACCCGCAGAAGAAGCACCGGCUAACUCCGUGCCAGCAGCCGCGGUAAUACGGAGGGUGCAAGCGUUAAUCGGAAUUACUGGGCGUAAAGCGCACGCAGGCGGUUUGUUAAGUCAGAUGUGAAAUCCCCGGGCUCAACCUGGGAACUGCAUCUGAUACUGGCAAGCUUGGGUCUCGUAGAGGGGGGUAGAAUUCCAGGUGUAGCGGUGAAAUGCGUAGAGAUCUGGAGGAAUACCGGUGGCGAAGGCGGCCCCCUGGACGAAGACUGACGCUCAGGUGCGAAAGCGUGGGGAGCAAACAGGAUUAGAUACCCUGGUAGUCCACGCCGUAAACGAUGUCGACUUGGAGGUUGUGCCCUUGAGGCGUGGCUUCCGGAGCUAACGCGUUAAGUCGACCGCCUGGGGAGUACGGCCGCAAGGUUAAAACUCAAAUGAAUUGACGGGGGCCCGCACAAGCGGUGGAGCAUGUGGUUUAAUUCGAUGCAACGCGAAGAACCUUACCUGGUCUUGACAUCCACGGAAGUUUUCAGAGAUGAGAAUGUGCCUUCGGGAACCGUGAGACAGGUGCUGCAUGGCUGUCGUCAGCUCGUGUUGUGAAAUGUUGGGUUAAGUCCCGCAACGAGCGCAACCCUUAUCCUUUGUUGCCAGCGGUCCGGCCGGGAACUCAAAGGAGACUGCCAGUGAUAAACUGGAGGAAGGUGGGGAUGACGUCAAGUCAUCAUGGCCCUUACGACCAGGGCUACACACGUGCUACAAUGGCGCAUACAAAGAGAAGCGACCUCGCGAGAGCAAGCGGACCUCAUAAAGUGCGUCGUAGUCCGGAUUGGAGUCUGCAACUCGACUCCAUGAAGUCGGAAUCGCUAGUAAUCGUGGAUCAGAAUGCCACGGUGAAUACGUUCCCGGGCCU
Molecule: ribosomal RNA, 1363 nt
Filed under: uncultured bacterium
Lineage: Bacteria
Description: bacterial SSU rRNA
Rfam family: Bacterial small subunit ribosomal RNA
Source: RNAcentral